AUUGAACGCUGGCGGCAGGCCUAACACAUGCAAGUCGAGCGGAUGAAGGGAGCUUGCUCCUGGAUUCAGCGGCGGACGGGUGAGUAAUGCCUAGGAAUCUGCCUGGUAGUGGGGGAUAACGUCCGGAAACGGGCGCUAAUACCGCAUACGUCCUGAGGGAGAAAGUGGGGGAUCUUCGGACCUCACGCUAUCAGAUGAGCCUAGGUCGGAUUAGCUAGUUGGUGGGGUAAAGGCCUACCAAGGCGACGAUCCGUAACUGGUCUGAGAGGAUGAACAGUCACACUGGAACUGAGACACGGUCCAGACUCCUACGGGAGGCAGCAGUGGGGAAUAUUGGACAAAGGGCGAAAGCCUGAUCCAGCCAUGCCGCGUGUGUGAAGAAGGUCUUCGGAUUGUAAAGCACUUUAAGUUGGGAGGAAGGGCAGUAAGUUAAUACCUUGCUGUUUUGACGUUACCAACAGAAUAAGCACCGGCUAACUUCGUG
Molecule: ribosomal RNA, 484 nt
Filed under: uncultured bacterium
Lineage: Bacteria
Description: partial 16S ribosomal RNA
Rfam family: Bacterial small subunit ribosomal RNA
Source: RNAcentral